Molecule: long non-coding RNA, 1197 nt
Organism: Cyprinus carpio carpio
Lineage: Eukaryota; Metazoa; Chordata; Actinopteri; Cypriniformes; Cyprinidae
Source: Ensembl
CGGAUGCUGACGCUGUUGUUAUGUGUCACGUUGCACACGAUGUCAGUAAAAAGUUAUCAUUGCUGUUCAGUCCUCACGACUUAUUUAGAAGGAGGCUUCAAAAUGCUGUUCCACAAGGUCCUCAACGUCUCCUGAAUACAUUGUGUCUGGGACAAUGUACUCCUCAUAAUCGACCCCCAGAAGCACGAUCACGCCCAUUCCGGAAGACACUCCGAUCACCUCCACCGUCUCCUCAAUGAGCCGCCUUUCUGAAACCUGUGUUUUUACAGAGAAACCUCAACUGCUCUUGAGUUGCAGUUUAGCUUAAAGUCCAGGACGGGCACUUUACCAAAUUGCACCUGUGCCAUCCUCACCUCCUGCAACUACAAAUCACAUACCAGAGGAGACUGACGUACCCAUCUUCUGAAGGGUCCACUUUGUCCACGGAGACCAGAGGGGAAUGUGGAACAAGGAUCUCUCUGGCCCUUCUCUCCUGAUCUUCAGCUACUGCCUUUCUUGUGACACGUGUGGCAACGCAUUUACAUUUCAGUGGCUCCGGACGGCUGUAUGGACUGCAUGUUGCCAUUGUGAUGCUAAGAACAAAUACACAGAAAGGAGUAGUCAGUGAGUCGAGUGAGAGGGGGGUCAGUGGGCCAGUGGUCUUAAACUUGGCAGUGGUCCAAUCAGAUGACGUCACCGAGGCGCAUAGUAACAAGAGGGUAAACUUCCUCUCUCUCUGUCUCUCUCCCUCCCUCCCUGUGUGUGGUUGUGUGUGUAUAUAUACAGGUUUGAUUGUAAUUGUUUGAGGGCCAAAUGUUCUCACUUGUAUAGGGAAAUAUCAUGACAACCAAGUUGUGAGAACACUAGUUAAAAGGGCUUAUAAAUGAGCCAAAACAUGUUUUUAUUCAAAUUUAGUGUUUUGCACACAUUGGGUUUAGGGCAGAGGUCCUGAAGGGCCGGUGUCCUGCAGAGUUUAGCUCCAUUCUUGCCUCAACACACAUGCUGGGAAGUUUUGUAGUAUGCCUAGUAAGAGCUUGAUAAGCUGGUUCAGGUGUGUUUAUUUGUCUAAACUCUACAGGACACUGGUCCUCCAGGACUGAGUUUGGGCACCUCUGUUGUUUAUCAUACUGUUAACUUGAUUGAUGUGAUCAUCAUGCAACUAACAAAUCUAAUUUGUCAUAUGUUUGUUUUCUACAGUAUAUCUGAUGCCUCCCGGAA